RNAcentral lists this non-coding RNA (27 nucleotides) under Rattus norvegicus (Norway rat). Lineage: Eukaryota; Metazoa; Chordata; Mammalia; Rodentia; Muridae. The record is from RNAcentral.
UCAAAUCAGCGUUUAAGGUACUCGGUA